This 253-nucleotide ribosomal RNA is filed under the name uncultured bacterium. RNAcentral's name for it is "partial 16S ribosomal RNA". It matches the Rfam family "Bacterial small subunit ribosomal RNA", at positions 524 to 776 of the family's 1533-position model. The record is from RNAcentral.
UACGAAGGGUGCAAGCGUUACUCGGAAUUACUGGGCGUAAAGCGUGCGUAGGUGGUUUGUUAAGUCUGUUGUGAAAGCCCCGGGCUCAACCUGGGAAUGGCAAUGGAUACUGGCAAGCUAGAGUGCGGUAGAGGGUAGUGGAAUUCCCGGUGUAGCGGUGAAAUGCGUAGAGAUCGGGAAGAACAUCAGUGGCGAAGGCGGCUCACUGGCCCGGUACUGACGCUGAGGUGCGAAAGCGUGGGGAGCAAACAGG